UGAUCUCCAUGCUUUUCAAGAACAGGUGUC
Molecule: non-coding RNA, 30 nt
Filed under: Homo sapiens (human)
Lineage: Eukaryota; Metazoa; Chordata; Mammalia; Primates; Hominidae
Source: RNAcentral